CGGACGGGUGAGUAAUGUCUGGGAAACUGCCUGAUGGAGGGGGAUAACUACUGGAAACGGUAGCUAAUACCGCAUAACGUCGCAAGACCAAAGAGGGGGGCCUUCGGGCCUCUUGCCAUCGGAUGUGCCCAGAUGGGAUUAGCUAGUAGGUGGGGUAAUGGCUCACCUAGGCGACGAUCCCUAGCUGGUCUGAGAGGAUGACCAGCCACACUGGAACUGAGACACGGUCCAG
Molecule: ribosomal RNA, 232 nt
Filed under: uncultured bacterium
Lineage: Bacteria
Description: partial 16S ribosomal RNA
Rfam family: Bacterial small subunit ribosomal RNA
Source: RNAcentral